This is a long non-coding RNA of Glycine soja, 946 nucleotides long. RefSeq lists it as uncharacterized. Lineage: Eukaryota; Viridiplantae; Streptophyta; Magnoliopsida; Fabales; Fabaceae. The record is from RefSeq and is a predicted model, not a curated record. The transcript is spliced from 2 exons.
UUUUCAUUUGCCUUCGAGUUUUCAAUUUCAAUAUCUUUCUUUCUAGAUGUUACUUUCUCUCUCUUCCAAAGACACGGAAGAAACAAAUUGCAGUUUCUGCGCAGUUGACUCAAAUUUGAUGACACAAAUAUUAUUACAGGGACACGUGCCGUAUUGAAAGAGUUUUGAAAACACGCAUUACUGUACUAAUUUCAGUAGCUUGUAGGACAAUAGGACUCUUCUUGUCUGCGUUUUGAAGUUGAAGGGUUCCUUCCUCAUUCUAGUUGGGAAUCGUUUCUCUUCGCUCACAUUCGCACUUCGCUAAGUAAGAAAAAUAUUCAUGACUGACACCAUCUAUUGGAUAACAUUCACCAUCAGAAGAACACACACUGGAUUUAGUAAUGCAAUCUCACCAUCAGCAAUUGAAUGUGAUCCCCAAUCCAGAACCUACAGAGAAAGCCAUAAUCGGUUGCUCAUCUUCUCCUUUCCGUCACUUCCAACUCAACACAAAUCCAAGUUGAGGUUAUCGCAGUUUGUCAACAAGCAAAGUGUUGCUCACCUGACCAUUUCUGAUCAAGACAAAUCAUAUUGGCAUAUACUUGGAGUACCAAAGUUAAGAGCAACCAGAACAGUUUUUGUGAAGAUAAAGGAUAUCAAUGAAAAGCGGAAAAGAAACCAAAACAGUUUCCAUUUGCAUGGCUAGAGUAAGUUUCUUCAUGUCUAGCACUAUCCAAUUUUUUCCUACAAGGUGUUUAAUUAAAUGCUUCUGAAGAUUUUAGCUUAUUGUUUGGCUUGUUUGAUGAUUUUAGUUUCUGCCAUGUGUGGUGGUUAAGCAUUGUUUAUUUGUUAGCUUAAGUCAUGAGUGGUUAAGCCUUAGUUAUUGUUGGUUCACAAAGUAUUUGUGAAAAGUCCUCAUAGAAGACAGAUUUUGUGAUUCUUCUAUUUUAUUGAUGUAAGCUUCUGUGCA